Molecule: non-coding RNA, 46 nt
Organism: Schistosoma margrebowiei
Lineage: Eukaryota; Metazoa; Platyhelminthes; Trematoda; Strigeidida; Schistosomatidae
Source: Rfam
GCACUGCUGAAGAGUCUCAAGCUGGGACGAAACGGCCGUCCAGUGC